CCGUGAAUCCGCAUCGUUCGAGCAAGUCCAGCCCCGUGCGCGAGUGGCGUUUGUCGUCUGGAACCCUCGUGACCUCCUAAUCCCAUCCGAAAUCCUCACUUUGUCUUAAGCCAAAUAAAAAUAAAAUCAGUCCUCCCGAUUCCCAUUUGCCCCCCGCUCGAUCCAGCGCUGCCGAAUUCGUGCCGAGCUUGGGGUGCUGCCGAUUGAGUUCUGAUCCGGCGGCGUGCGGCGUUGGAGUGCCCCUGGUUCGGAAGCGGCGAGGGCCAUGCGAAUUGAGUCUCUGCUGUGCUGAGCAUGAAGGGUGGGAGAGCUAAAGGCCUGGGUGAUGGGAUCGCCGGAGGGGCGCCUCGUUGAGUUGUUGGGAGCAGUCAAGUCGCGGAUGCCGCGGCGGGGAGAGCACUCGCCGCCGCCUGCGCCGAAGGCUGCUGCUGCUGCCGAUGUGCUACAGGCGCAGCCGCAUGACUUGUCCAGAGACUUCUGGAUGCCGGACCAAAGUUGCCGGGUGUGUUACGACUGCGAUGCCCAGUUCACCAUCCUUAAUCGGCGUCACCACUGCCGCCACUGCGGCCGCGUGUUCUGUGCCCGUUGCACGGCCAACUCUGUGCCCCGCUCGCCGGGCGACGCGGCGCGGGAGGACAUCGAGCGGAUCAGGGUCUGCAACUACUGCUUCAAGCGCUGGCUGGAGGAGGAGGCGGCCACUCGGAGGGAUGUGGCGCAGCUGUCGAGCCCGUCGCCGUCGGCCACGAGUGCGGGGAACGAAAAGUCAUGUUCCACCGGGCGUAGCAGCACGGUGACCAACGGCCAGUUGUUGUCUUACGCGAAUGUCAGCUGCACUGACUCUGCAUCACGGUCGGUGGGCAGCGAGGGCAACUGCGGCGAGCUCGAUGCUUCUCUGGAGUUGCAGCAUGCUGUGAUGGAGCCGGAUGGGGCCAUGGAGCAUGCGGCUUAUGUGGACAAUUCGCCUGAUCCAUUCAACUUCUGCUUGAAUAGGAGUGAUGAUGAAGAUGACGACUACACAAUUUUCCGCUCUGAUUCGGAAGUACACCACCUACAAAACUCUGAUGAGUACAAUGGGCCUAUGUGUUUUGAUGAUCAUCAAGUUGUUUGCAAUGAUGCUGCUAAAGAUUCUGCAUCACCAAGAAAAGAUACAGCAACCUUAGUUAAUUCUGAGGGAAUGGAUAAGACUGGUGAUCAUAUCAUUGAUAAUGCUGAGGAGUGCAAUGCUCGAUCUUCUUCGUUGUAUGGCAUGGAAGUGCUAGAAAAUGAACUUGUGGAUUUUGAAAACAAUAGCUCACUUUGGCUACCUCCAGAAGCCGAGGAUGAAGAGGAUGACCAUGAUGGUGCUCCAUGUGAUGAUGAGGAGGGAGAGGAUGCCACAGGAGAAUGGGGUUAUCUACGCUCAAACAGCUUCAGCAGUGGACAUUGUCGAAGUAGAGAUAAAUCUGCUGAGGAACACAAGAAAGCCAUGAAAGAUAUUGUUGAUGGGCAUUUUCGGGCAUUGGUGGCCCAACUUCUUCAAGCUGAAAAGAUAGAAUUGGGUGAUAAAAUUGGCAAUGAGAGUUGGCUAGAUAUAGUUACCUCCUUGUCUUGGGAAGCCGCAUCUCUUUUGAGACCAGAUACCAGCAAAGGAGGACGUAUGGACCCUGGUGGCUAUGUAAAGGUGAAAUGCUUGGCUUGUGGCCGUCCAAGUGACAGCUUGGUUGUAAGAGGAGUUGUUUGUAAGAAGAAUGUUGCUCAUCGGCGCAUGUCAACAAAGAAGGAAAAGCCACGAAUCCUAAUUCUUGGUGGUGCACUUGAAUAUCAGCGUGUAUCGAAUUUGCUUUCAAGUUUUGAUACCUUACUGCAGCAGGAAACGGAUUAUCUGAAAAUGGCAGUUGUAAAGAUCAAAGCGCACCAACCAAGUGUUGUAUUGGUAGAGAAAUCUGUGUCUCGUUAUGCUCAGGAUUUGUUUCUGGAGAAAAACAUUUCACUUGUUUUGAAUAUCAGAAGACCACUUCUGGAACGGAUAUCCCGUUGCACUGGUGCUCAGAUAGUUCCCUCUAUUGAUUAUCUGUCAUCCCAAAAGCUCGGGAAUUGUGACUUAUUCCAUGUGGAGAAGUAUAUUGAAGAGCAUGGGACUGCUGGAGAAGGUGGGAAGAAAAUGCUGAAGACCCUUAUGUUUUUUGAAGGCUGUCCAAAGCCCUUGGGUUUUACAAUCUUGCUAAAAGGAGCUAAUGGGGAUGAGUUGAAAAAAGUGAAGCAUGUUGUGCAAUAUGGAGUCUUCGCAGCCUAUCACUUGGCUCUUGAAACAUCUUUUCUUGUAGAUGAAGGUGCAACCCUGCCAGAACUCCCUCUUAAGUCGCCGAUUAUUGUUGCUUUGCCGGACAAACCUUCCAGUGCUGAUAGAUCCAUUUCAACGAUACCUAUUUUGCAAAUGCCUACUAUUUCAUCACCCAACAACAACCUGCAAGCAUUUGAUAUUCAAAAGGAUGACUUUACAUUCAAUGGUUUUAAAAUGAUGGACCAAAUGGCUGCAGCAUCCUUCCCUGAUAGCAAAUGCUGGGAAAGAUUGGGAGUUGGUUCUACCCAAGCAUCAUCAGUUCAAAUCAAUGACCAAACUGGAGACAUUGGCUGUUUGCUUGGUAUGGACCCUCAAUCAUAUAAUGAUCCUCUGGUUCAGCAGUCGAGAAUUUCAUUCUGCCAGUGUCCUGCUUGUACUAGAGAUGUUGGCAGCAAAAUGAAAUUUGAAGAACUCCAGCCUGAAACCAAUAGACAUCCACUGGCUAAUGGCCUGAGUGUGUUGCCUGCUCAUCCUGCAAAUUUGGUGGCUGCUGAAAGUGAUCUUUCAUUUGCCCAUAACGCCAACAAUGGUGCCAAGGUAGCGGCUAAGCCAUCUGCUCCUCUCAACUUACAAGUUUCUUAUAAUAAUGUCAGUUCAAAUGACGGUUCAAUAGUAAAAAGGGAUGAAAUUCCAGCAUCCCCUGCCGACAACCAGAGUAUAUUAGUUUCUCUGUCCUCGCGUUGUGUUUGGAAAGAAGCUAUAUGUGAGCGGCCACACCUUCUUCGCAUAAAAUAUUAUGGUAACUUUGACAAACCUUUAGGCAGGUUUUUGCGUGACCAGCUAUUUGAUCAGAGCAAUUGUUGUCUCUCUUGUGAGCUGGCACCAGAGGCCCAUGUUUAUUGCUAUGUUCACCCCCAAGGCAGCUUAACAAUAUCAGUGCGGAAACUCAUAGUGAAGUUACCUGGUGAACAUGAUGGUAAAAUCUGGAUGUGGCAUAGAUGCUUACGCUGUCCGCGCGAUAAAGGGCUCCCUCCAGCAACUAAAAGAGUAGUGAUGUCUGAUGCUGCCUGGGGCUUAUCUUUUGGUAAAUUUUUGGAACUUAGUUUUUCAAAUCAUGCAGCAGCAAGUAGGGUAGCCAGCUGUGGUCAUUCUCUUCACAGGGACUGCCUUCGUUUUUAUGGUUUCGGUGAAAUGGUUGCUUGCUUCCGAUACGCAUCAAUCAAGGUUCACUCAGUCUAUUUGCCUCCGUCGAAACUUGAUUUUACUUCCCAGCAUCAGGAAUGGGUAGAGCAAGAAGCAAAUGAGGUGGUUGAUUCAGCUGAACUCCUGUUCACUGAAGUACUGAAUGCACUCCAUCAAAUUUCAGAGAAAAGGCCAAUUACAGGCUCUUUUGAUGGCAACAUGAAGAUCCUUGAGUUAAGACAAAACAUAGUAGAGUUGGAAGAUAUCCUACAAGCAGAGAAGGUUGAUUUCACGGAGUCACUAAAGAAUCUACUGAAAAGGGAAAUCAGAAAGGGGCAGUUAUUCAUUGAUAUUCUUGAAGUUAACAAACUAAGGAGGCAGCUACUAUUUCUUUGUUACUUGUGGGAUCAACGCCUAAGUUUCAUAGCAACCUCAGGUGGCAAGUAUUGCGCUGCUCUUGGAAGUCUACGAGUUGGAAGUAAUAAUUCUGAAAUCAAUGAUCGAUCAGCUGAUACCAAUACAAACACAAAGUUGGAGAAGAACUCAAAGGGCACCGAUUCAAAUGCACUUUACGCUGGUGAUGAGGGGACCAACCAGCAUGAUCAAUCUAAUGAAACUUGCUCGAGAAAUACUGAAGAGUUGAAUGGUGCUGAAGAUACAAUAGUUGAAAUAAAUCAUGCAAAUAGCGCUAAUGUCAGGGGUCAUUUAGAUCAUCAAGGAUCGAUUAACGGCGUUCGUAGGGUUUCUUCUGAAGGUCAGUUCCCAGUAGCUACUGACAUUUCAGAUAAACUGGGUGCAAAAUGGAGAGGUGAGGAUGGAUCUGCUCCUGAUGCAAGCCUGGUGAAACCACUAGCUCUGUUACAAGGUACAGCUGCUGAUGUGAAAAAACAAGCAAAGGCAGUACCACGCCACACUUCUGCAUCUGUCAGGUCUGGGGAUACAGUAGAAGACUUGCUAAGCUGCCUUAAAAUGCCAUACAUGACAUUUUAUAAUUCAUUGAACACAAACUCUGGCACAGCACCGACAUUUGGAACCUUGGCCGACUACAAUCCUGUAUACAUUUCAUUGUUUCGCGAUCUAUCACAGCAAGGUGGAGCAAGACUUUUUCUGCCAACUGGAGCUAAUGAUGUUGUUAUCCCGGUAUUUGAUGAUGAACCGACUAGUAUUAUUUCUUAUGCACUUGUUUCACCUGUGUAUCACUUUCAAAUGUCAGUUGAGAGCAAUCAAAAUAAAGACAGUGCAGAUUCUACACUUUCGUUGCCUGUUUAUGAUUCAGGAAAUUUUAACCUGUUCCAUUUAUUUGAGGAUUUUGGAUCCUCUGAUGAUUUUGCUUCAUCGAUAUCUUCCAGUAGAGGGUCCUUUGCUCCUGAUCUACUGCACUCCAGAGUUUCUUUUCAAGAUGGUGGGCCACUUGGGAAAGUUAAAUGCACUGUGACAUGCUAUUAUGCAAAAAGCUUUGAAGAACUCAGAAGGUCUUGUUGUCCAUCGGAGCUUGAUUAUUUAAGAUCUAUCAGUCGAUGCAAGAAAUGGGGAGCACAAGGUGGCAAAAGUAAUGUGUUCUUUGCAAAAUCUCUGGAUGAUAGAUUUAUUAUAAAGCAGGUCACAAAAACAGAGCUUGAAUCAUUCCUUCAGUUCGGCCCAGAUUAUUUUAAGUAUUUGUCAGAGUCCAUAAGCACUGGAAGCCCUACAUGCCUUGCAAAGAUUCUGGGAAUCUAUCAGGUUACAAUUAAGCAUCUGAAAGGUGGCAAGGAAUCAAAAAUGGAUUUGCUUGUGAUGGAAAAUCUCUUAUUUGGACGGAAUAUUACGAGGCUUUAUGAUCUCAAGGGAUCUUCAAGGUCAAGGUAUAAUGCAGACUCCAGCAGGAACAAGGUCCUGCUUGACCAGAACUUAAUUGAGGCAAUGCCAACGUCGCCAAUUUUUGUCGGGAACAAGGCGAAGCGCCUUCUUGAAAGAGCUGUUUGGAACGACACUUCUUUUCUAGCAGGAAUUGAUGUAAUGGAUUAUUCCUUGCUUGUGGGUGUUGAUGAGGAGAAACAUGAGCUUGUCCUGGGAAUAAUUGAUUUCAUGAGGCAGUAUACAUGGGACAAGCACCUUGAAACAUGGGUCAAAUCUUCUGGCAUUCUAGGUGGGCCUAAGAAUGCCGCUCCAACUGUUGUCUCACCGAUGCAGUACAAGAAGCGGUUUAGGAAAGCAAUGUCUGCUUAUUUUAUUGUGAUUCCUGAGCAAUGGAUGCCUGCAAUAAUCAAUCCAGACCAGUCCUCGUCAAAUAUUUGUGAAGACGAUUCUCAAAAUGCUUCACCAGAGUAGCAUGGCGCUCGGUGUGUUAAUGAUGGAUGGGGGUUGCCGGAUUUGGUCCUACUGCAGUCAUGAGAAAUGAUUAAUUUGGUACUCGGCCGGCAUUGAAAUGAUCUUCAGGCUGGGCACUGUAUUCUCCUGUGGUCAUUUGCACAGAUCAGAUUGCACUCGCCGGUUUCCAUCUAAUAUAAAAAGAAACCAUCACAUGUGUAUAUUCUUGCGACUGCAAUUGUGAUUAGUUUUGCCUGUGUUGCCUAUAUGGUACAUAUAUCAAGUGUAAGUGCCUUCUCGUGUCUUGUAGGUGGUUUCCAUUUUGGCUAGAUGUGAACAGAAAUUUGGGCCUUUUUCUUUUGCACAAGUGGUUGUUGUGUGUCUGUUGAUUUUUAGAGGGGCUAUCGCCGUCUGUGGUGUAUAUAAUAACAAAAUAAAAGUCGAGUUAGUGCUAAUGCCCCGUGUCAAGAUUCCUAUGCCAACAAGCUGUGGAGAACAUAUACACGUCAGAACAUGGCUCCGCGGGAGGCCAAAAUCACUGUUUUGACCAUUU
Molecule: ribosomal RNA, 6281 nt
Filed under: Triticum aestivum (bread wheat)
Lineage: Eukaryota; Viridiplantae; Streptophyta; Magnoliopsida; Poales; Poaceae
Description: partial small subunit ribosomal RNA
Source: RNAcentral